AUUGAACGCUGGCGGCAUGCCUUACACAUGCAAGUCGAACGGCAGCACGGGUGCUUGCACCUGGUGGCGAGUGGCGAACGGGUGAGUAAUACAUCGGAACAUGUCCUGUAGUGGGGGAUAGCCCGGCGAAAGCCGGAUUAAUACCGCAUACGAUCUACGGAUGAAAGCGGGGGACCUUCGGGCCUCGCGCUAUAGGGUUGGCCGAUAGCUGAUUAGCUAGUUGGUGGGGUAAAGGCCUACCAAGGCGACGAUCAGUAGCUGGUCUGAGAGGACGACAAGCCACACUGGGACUGUGACACGGCCCCGACUCCUACGGGAGGCAGCGUUGGGGAAUUUUGGACAAUGGGCGCAAGCCUGAUCUAGCAAUGCCGCGUGUGUGAAGAAGGCCUUCGGGUUGUAAAGCACUUUUGUCCGGAAAGAAAUCCUUGGCUCUAAUACAGUCGGGGGAUGACGGUACCGGAAGAAUAAGCACCGGCUAACUACGUG
This 486-nucleotide ribosomal RNA is filed under the name uncultured bacterium. Its description in RNAcentral is "partial 16S ribosomal RNA". It matches the Rfam family "Bacterial small subunit ribosomal RNA", at positions 30 to 507 of the family's 1533-position model. The record is from RNAcentral.